Molecule: ribosomal RNA, 414 nt
Filed under: uncultured bacterium
Lineage: Bacteria
Description: bacterial SSU rRNA
Rfam family: Bacterial small subunit ribosomal RNA
Source: RNAcentral
GGAAUAUUGGUCAAUGGGCGAGAGCCUGAACCAGCCAUGCCGCGUGCAGGAAGACGGCCUUCUGGGUUGUAAACUGCUUUUCUACAGGAAGAAAAAGGUCAUGCGUGACCAAUUGCCGGUAUUGUAGGAAUAAGCACCGGCUCACUCCGUGCCAGCAGCCGCGGUAAUACGGAGGGUGCAAGCGUUGUCCGGAUUUAUUGGGUUUAAAGGGUGCGUAGGCGGGAGAUUAAGUCCGUGGUGAAAGCCCACAGCUCAACUGUGGAACUGCCAUGGAUACUGGUUUUCUUGAAUUCAGUAAAGGUAGGCGGAAUUGAUGGUGUAGCGGUGAAAUGCAUAGAUACCAUCAGGAACACCGAUUGCGAAGGCAGCUUACUGGGCUUGAAUUGACGCUGAGGCACGAAAGCGUGGGGAUCG